AGAGUUUGAUCAUGGCUCAGGAUGAACGCUAGCUACAGGCUUAACACAUGCAAGUCGAGGGGAAACGACAUCGAAAGCUUGCUUUUGAUGGGCGUCGACCGGCGCACGGGUGAGUAACGCGUAUCCAACCUGCCCACCACUUGGGGAUAACCUUGCGAAAGUAAGACUAAUACCCAAUGACGUCUCUAGAAGACAUCUGAAAGAGAUUAAAGAUUUUAUCGGUGAUGGAGUGGGGAUGCGUCUGAUUAGCUUGUUGGGCGGGGUAACGGCCACCAAGGCGACGAUCAGGUAGGGGUUCUGAGAGGAACGGUCCCCCACAUUGGAACUGAGACACGGUCCAAACUCCUACGGGAGGCA
Molecule: ribosomal RNA, 357 nt
Filed under: uncultured bacterium
Lineage: Bacteria
Description: bacterial SSU rRNA
Rfam family: Bacterial small subunit ribosomal RNA
Source: RNAcentral